This 1808-nucleotide long non-coding RNA is filed under the name Homo sapiens (human). RNAcentral's name for it is "HSALNT0135847". The record is from RNAcentral. Lineage: Eukaryota; Metazoa; Chordata; Mammalia; Primates; Hominidae.
GUUAUUUAUAGGACUCUAUUGGGAUGAGUAGAUAAAGUCCCAGAUCUGUAAGAAAAGAGACAUUGACUGAGCAUUAAAAAGGCUGAAAAAGAAAGAGAACAAAAACCGAGACAGUGUCAAAAACAUGGACAAAUGUUGGCAUUUCCCUUUUACCUUGGGGGCAAGUCUUUAUGAAUUCCAUGACUGGAGUCCAAAGGGCUCCCUCUGAAUACCUCCAACACUUUUAAGGGAAACAGCAAACAAACAAACAAAAUACAUUAACAUGCCUGGGAGCUCAUCACUUUUGCUUGGCGGCAACCAUCUUCACUCCCAAAGGGCCAUGCUGUUGGGGAUAUUUAGCUAAGGAAACAAAUCACCGUGGAAUAGUUUCUGCUCCAGGAGAAACAGCGGUUAUGAGCAGGAUCAGUGUUAACUGUCAAAAGGCUUGAAAAAUAUCUUUUCUUAAAUCCUACUCUGUGCUGACUUCACGGUAUUCCCCUCCACCACCAAAAAAAGUUGAAAGAAGUGUUUUCACUAACACCCCACCAAGGAAACUAAAAUUACAGUAGGCAAAUAGCUGCAGAAGAAACACAAAAACACAAAGGAUUUUAAUGCAAAGCCCAAGUGUCUUCCAUUGUUCCAAAGAAAACCAUCAGAAAUGCAAAUAUUAGGAGUUGUAGGGUUAUAGGUCAUAGCUGAGGUUAGUUAAUCUUGGUAAUAAAGAGGCGGUCACAAAUCUUUUAUUACCUCUGUGGAGCUUCAAGCCUUUUGUUUGUACUGUAGAGUCUGUCUUUGGAAAUGGAUCAACAUGGGAAAAGGUAAGUCUUAUGAUACGGUUAGACUGCGUCCCCCACCCAAAUCUCAUCUUGAACUGUAACUCCCAUAAUUUCUAUGUGUCAUGGGAGAGCCUGAUGGGUGGUAACUGAAUCAUGGGGGUGGGUCUUUCCUGUGCUGUUCUCGUGAUAGUGAAUAAGUCUCAUGAGAUCUGAUGGUUUUAUAAUCGGGAGUUCCCUCACAUAUGCCCUCUUGCUGGCCCUCAUGUAAGACGUGACUUUGUCCUCAUUCACCUUCAGCCAUGAUUGUGAGGCUUCCCCAGCCAUGUGGAACUGAGUCAAUUAAACUUCUUUCUUUUAUAAAUUACCCAGUCUCAGGUAUGUCUUUAUUAGCAGCGUGAGAACAGACUAAUACACCUUACUAAGUAUUUUUCUAGUACUUAUAAAACACCUUUUGUUUGUUUGUUUUUUCCUGCAACUCAGCUAUGGAAUUUACAAAUCUUAUCAGGGUAAUGUUUAAUUCUUUUCCUCUUAAGAUAAAACAUGAAACUAUGUUUAGGAAUCAUGAACAAAAUAAUAAUUAUGAAGCAUGAAAUAUUUGGAUGACUUUGUUUUCGGCAGAGAAUAGUAUCUUUUAACUUUUAGGACUCUGAAAGACAGAAGAAAAAAUGGAGACUUGCAUAUCUUCUAACAUGUCUUUUUGCUCUUAGCUAUUCAUCCCCCAAUCUUCUGGAGGCUGUAUCCUAUGUUAUAUGUUACAGAGAGAAAAUAAUCAUGUAGAACAAAUGUAAUAACUUGAAAUAUAAAAGUGAUUUAUGAUGAAGAAAUUCUUUCAUAGGAAACCAUUCUCUCAGGAACUUUCCUGAAAGUCUCUGGGAAUUUAUGAAAUGAUUUUGCUGAUGAAGCUUAUUUUUAGCUGUACCCGAUGGCAGUCUCCUUGCAAAAGAGAUGGGGAUUCUGUUUAUGCUACAGAAAUUGAAGUUCUGCACAGCAGUCAAUAGAAAAUAAUGGAUAUCAGUUUCACAGCUGGAACUGCUGACUUGAUCAGAUUUUAUA